AUUUAAAUAGUUUAAUAAAAAAUAUUGAUUUGUGGUGUCAAUGAUAUGAAUUAAAUUCAUUUUAAAUU
Molecule: transfer RNA, 68 nt
Filed under: Vermiophis taishanensis
Lineage: Eukaryota; Metazoa; Arthropoda; Insecta; Diptera; Vermileonidae
Description: tRNA-His
Rfam family: tRNA
About the family: Transfer RNA (tRNA) molecules are approximately 80 nucleotides in length. Their secondary structure includes four short double-helical elements and three loops (D, anti-codon, and T loops).
Source: RNAcentral